CCUACGGGAGGCAGCAGUGAGGAAUAUUGGUCAAUGGGCGCGAGCCUGAACCAGCCAAGUCGCGUGAGGGAAGACGGUCCUAUGGAUUGUAAACCUCUUUUGUCGGGGAGAAAAUGACGCCACUCAUGGCGGUCCGAAAGUACCCGAAGAAAAAGCAUCGGCUAACUCCGUGCCAGCAGCCGCGCUAAUACGGAGGAUGCGAGCGUUAUCCGGAUUUAUUGGGUUUAAAGGGAGCGUAGGUGGGUUGUUAAGUCAGUUGUGAAAGUUUGGGGCUCAACCGUAAAAUUGCACUUGAUACUGGCAGUCUUGAGUACAGUAGAGGUAGGCAGAAUUCGAGGUGUAGCGGUGAAAUGCGUAGAUAUCACGAAGAACUCCGAUUGCGAAGGCAGCCUACUAAACUGACACUGACAUUGAUGCGCGAAAGUGUGGGUAGCAAACAGGAUUAGAUACCCGUGUAGUC
RNAcentral lists this ribosomal RNA (460 nucleotides) under uncultured bacterium. RNAcentral's name for it is "partial 16S ribosomal RNA". It matches the Rfam family "Bacterial small subunit ribosomal RNA", at positions 338 to 795 of the family's 1533-position model. The record is from RNAcentral.